This 887-nucleotide ribosomal RNA is filed under the name Macrogastra badia mucida. RNAcentral's name for it is "partial large subunit ribosomal RNA". Lineage: Eukaryota; Metazoa; Mollusca; Gastropoda; Stylommatophora; Clausiliidae. The record is from RNAcentral.
UUAAACUAAAAACAUUUUAAUAAAAGGUUCCCGAAGUAAGAAGAUCUAAUUUAUUUAUGCAGUUUAGCUCUAAUAUUAUAGUAAUGUAGCAAAAUUACUAUUAGAAAAUAAAUUAGGAGUGAAAGGCCAGUCAAUUCUUAAUGAUAACUGGAUUAAGCAUAAAUAUAUUAAGUAUAAUAAAAACAAAUGUAAAACACUAAGUUUUUACAUAUAGAAUAGUUUAUAAGCUUUUAGUUAAUCUAAGUUAUUAAUAUAAUUAUGAAUAUUAAAUAUAAACAUUAUUAUAUUACUAACUUUCUUUCAUUUGCUUAUAAUAUUUUACAAUUCUCAAAAUAUCAAAUAAUGUUUAAAUGAGUAUAUAAUAGUAAAAAUAUGAAAGGAACUCGGCAAAUAUAAUUUACAACUGUUUAUCAAAAACAUAGCUAGCUGUGCGCUUUAUAGUUAGUUUAUUCUGCCCAGUGAGAAAUUUUAACGGCCGCAGUACACUGACUGUGCUAAGGUAGCAUAAUCAAUUGGCUUUUAAUUGGAGUCGCGUAUGAAAGAAUUAAAUGUAAAAUAACUGUCUUCUAUUAUUUUUAAUAAAAGUUACUAAGAAAGUGCAAAUUCUUUCAAACAAUUUUAAUAGACGAGAAGACCCUAUAAAUUUAUAUAUUAAGGCUAAGUUAUUUUCUUGGUUACAUUUUUGUUGGGGCAACAGUUUAACAAAUUUUUAAGUGAAAUUUAAAUAAUAAUAUGUUUCUUAUGUAUCGAAUAAUAUUAGUGAUAAUUAAAUUACUAUAGGGAUAACAGCAUAAUUUAAUAAUUUAAGAUUGUGACCUCGAUGUUGGAUUAGGGUUCAGUUAAAUCAGUAAUUUAACUGUUAGGUUCUGUUCGAACUUUUUAUCCCU